This 253-nucleotide ribosomal RNA is filed under the name uncultured bacterium. RNAcentral describes it as "partial 16S ribosomal RNA". It matches the Rfam family "Bacterial small subunit ribosomal RNA", at positions 524 to 776 of the family's 1533-position model. The record is from RNAcentral.
UACGAAGGACCCGAGCGUUAUCCGGAUUUAUUGGGUUUAAAGGGUGCGUAGGCGGCCUAGUAAGUCAGUGGUGAAAGCCCAUCGCUUAACGGUGGAACUGCCAUUGAUACUGCUAGUCUUGAGUAUGGUUGAGGUGGGCGGAAUGUGUCAUGUAGCGGUGAAAUGCAUAGAUAUGACACAGAACACCGAUUGCGAAGGCAGCUGACGAAACUGUAACUGACGCUGAGGCACGAAAGCGUGGGGAUCAAACAGG